This 71-nucleotide transfer RNA is filed under the name Sphaerodactylus townsendi. RNAcentral describes it as "tRNA-Val". It matches the Rfam family "tRNA". From Rfam's summary of the family: Transfer RNA (tRNA) molecules are approximately 80 nucleotides in length. Their secondary structure includes four short double-helical elements and three loops (D, anti-codon, and T loops). The record is from RNAcentral. Lineage: Eukaryota; Metazoa; Chordata; Lepidosauria; Squamata; Sphaerodactylidae.
GGAAUGUGGCUCAGUGGUAGAGCAUCUCCUUCACAUGCAGAAGGCCCCAGUUUCAAUCCCUGUUAUUUCCA